CCUACGGGAGGCAGCAGUGAGGAAUAUUGGUCAAUGGGCUUACGCCUGAACCAGCCAAGUCGCGUGAGGGAAGACUGCCCUAUGGGUUGUAAACCUCUUUUGUCAGGGAGCAACGCCGGCUACGUGUAGCCGUACUGAGAGUACCUGAAGAAAAAGCAUCGGCUAACUCCGUGCCAGCAGCCGCGGUAAUACGGAGGAUGCGAGCGUUAUCCGGAUUUAUUGGGUUUAAAGGGUGCGUAGGCGGAAUGCCAAGUCAGCGGUAAAAUCGCGGGGCUCAACCUCGCUCCGCCGUUGAAACUGGCGUUCUUGAGUGGGCGAGAGGUAUGCGGAAUGCGUGGUGUAGCGGUGAAAUGCAUAGAUAUCACGAAGAACUCCGAUUGCGAAGGCAGCAUACCGGCGCCCAACUGACGCUGAAGCACGAAAGCGUGGGUAUCGAACAGGAUUAGAUACCCGAGUAGUC
This 460-nucleotide ribosomal RNA is filed under the name uncultured bacterium. RNAcentral describes it as "partial 16S ribosomal RNA". It matches the Rfam family "Bacterial small subunit ribosomal RNA", at positions 338 to 795 of the family's 1533-position model. The record is from RNAcentral.